Molecule: ribosomal RNA, 240 nt
Filed under: uncultured Lactobacillus sp.
Lineage: Bacteria; Bacillati; Bacillota; Bacilli; Lactobacillales; Lactobacillaceae
Description: partial 16S ribosomal RNA
Rfam family: Bacterial small subunit ribosomal RNA
Source: RNAcentral
UAACCUGCCCAAGAGAUCGGGAUAACACCUGGAAACAGAUGCUAAUACCGGAUAACAACAGAUGAUGCCUAUCAACUGUUUAAAAGAUGGUUCUGCUAUCACUCUUGGAUGGACCUGCGGUGCAUUAGCUAGUUGGUAGGGUAACGGCCUACCAAGGCGAUGAUGCAUAGCCGAGUUGAGAGACUGAUCGGCCACAUUGGGACUGAGACACGGCCCAAACUCCUACGGGAGGCAGCNGGC